RNAcentral lists this ribosomal RNA (219 nucleotides) under Vibrio alginolyticus. RNAcentral describes it as "partial 16S ribosomal RNA". It matches the Rfam family "Bacterial small subunit ribosomal RNA", at positions 1 to 216 of the family's 1533-position model. The record is from RNAcentral. Lineage: Bacteria; Pseudomonadati; Pseudomonadota; Gammaproteobacteria; Vibrionales; Vibrionaceae. RNAcentral also lists the same sequence under 1 other name.
AAAUUGAAGAGUUUGAUCAUGGCUCAGAUUGAACGCUGGCGGCAGGCCUAACACAUGCAAGUCGAGCGGAAACGAGUUAUCUGAACCUUCGGGGAACGAUAACGGCGUCGAGCGGCGGACGGGUGAGUAAUGCCUAGGAAAUUGCCCUGAUGUGGGGGAUAACCAUUGGAAACGAUGGCUAAUACCGCAUGAUGCCUACGGGCCAAAGAGGGGGACCUU